AAAAAAAUACCAAUUCAUUCAAAUUCAUAUGUUAAUAGAAUUUAAAAUUUUACAAUUUAUUUGAUUUUUUACUAAACACAAUUGUUUUUAUCAUGAAUUUACAUUUCAACCCCUCUAAAUACUUUGAAAUUCAAUUCGUGAACCAAACACGUUCUUACUUUCUUACUAUUGGACUCCACUUCCAGUAGUCGAUUUCAGAACUCCUUUCUUCAUUCCACAGCGUCAGACUCACAAGGGUAUGUGUCUUUGUUUUAGUACUUUUUACACCCUAAAUCCUAAUCUGAUAAUGAUAAUUAUGAUUUCAAUUUUCACCUUCCCAUCGACGUUGAUUCACGAUUUCAAUUUUCAUCCACGCCUCCAUCACUGUCAGUGGACUACUAUUGCAGCGACGAUGGCUGUUUAUGUGAAUUGCAGCCUGAUUUUGAAUUUGAAACUCAUAUUUUGAAACUGAAGUACAACUCUUAUAUGUUAAUUGCUAAAACUCAGAUUUUGGUUAAAUUAUGCCAGGAGUUCACAAUUGUAGAUGUUGGUCUUCCUAGUAACAAUAACCUAACUACAUUUGAAGGGGCUAGAUAGUUAACCAUCAACUAAUAAAUUUCCAAUAGUUCCACAUGUUGUUUUGAAUUUGAUUUGCCUACAUACAUGUUUUAGUUACAUAAAAAGGGUCAGGGAAGGGAGGAUGAAUUUUGCAACCUCAUUGUGUAUGAGAUUAAUUGUUAGCAACUUGGUUACUAGAAUCCCUGUUUACACCUCUGCAAGUGGUAUAACUCUUACAUAAAAUCCUUUCUAUUUUGCAUUUAUCUUGUGGUAACAUAACAUUUAUUUGAAACUGAAUCGUGCAUAGAUGUAUCUGGAGAUAGAUUAAGCAUGAUAUUCAGACGCUAGGCCACCAAAGAAACAACAUGCUCCACAAAAAAUGGACGCGACUCAAAACCCAAGAUGCUUGGUGUCAAGAAGUUCGGUGGUGAGGUUAGUAUCUAAAUUUGUAUUGUAUUAAAUUUUAUUUCUUUUUUCUAUUUUGUUAAUAUUUGGGAAAUUUAUACAAAGUGUGAUACCUGGGAAUAUCAUUGUAAGACAAAGAGG
RNAcentral lists this long non-coding RNA (1083 nucleotides) under Lactuca sativa (garden lettuce). Its description in RNAcentral is "long non-coding RNA (LSAT_LNC000241)". Lineage: Eukaryota; Viridiplantae; Streptophyta; Magnoliopsida; Asterales; Asteraceae. The record is from RNAcentral.